RNAcentral lists this ribosomal RNA (319 nucleotides) under Salmonella enterica subsp. enterica serovar Poona. Its description in RNAcentral is "partial 23S ribosomal RNA". It matches the Rfam family "Bacterial large subunit ribosomal RNA", at positions 873 to 1190 of the family's 2925-position model. The record is from RNAcentral. Lineage: Bacteria; Pseudomonadati; Pseudomonadota; Gammaproteobacteria; Enterobacterales; Enterobacteriaceae.
GGUAGCGCCUCGUGAACUCAUCUCCGGGGGUAGAGCACUGUUUCGGCUAGGGGGCCAUCCCGGCUUACCAACCCGAUGCAAACUGCGAAUACCGGAGAAUGUUAUCACGGGAGACACACGGCGGGUGCUAACGUCCGUCGUGAAGAGGGAAACAACCCAGACCGCCAGCUAAGGUCCCAAAGUCAUGGUUAAGUGGGAAACGAUGUGGGAAGGCCCAGACAGCCAGGAUGUUGGCUUAGAAGCAGCCAUCAUUUAAAGAAAGCGUAAUAGCUCACUGGUCGAGUCGGCCUGCGCGGAAGAUGUAACGGGGCUAAACCAU